This 370-nucleotide unclassified non-coding RNA is filed under the name Hevea brasiliensis (rubber tree). Lineage: Eukaryota; Viridiplantae; Streptophyta; Magnoliopsida; Malpighiales; Euphorbiaceae. The record is from RNAcentral.
AAUUUCAUCCAAUGACAGUAGAUUUGUUCUCUAUGGAUCAGUGAUUGGAAAGCAAAAUUCUGAAAUUUCAUUCUUUCCCUUUUUCUUAUACUUCUUUGAUGUUGUAUUUACAAAUACAUUCCGGAUUGAAACUUCAAAAUGGUCUAAUUGGAGCUUACAAGAUUCAUUAAACUCAAAAUGAUUAUAAUAUAAACUCGAUAUUAAUUAAAUCACCAUUUUUCUGUGUUAUUCUGCUGCAACAUUCUUCCAGAAAUUGCUGCUGCUAGUGCUGCUGUGAAAUUGGGAUCUUUUGUCAAGGAAGAGGCCAUCUGUUCCACUAAGAACUGACGGGCCUCGGGAGCUUCCAUUCUUGAUUUUGAACUUCUGGCAU